This 628-nucleotide long non-coding RNA is filed under the name Ficedula albicollis (Collared flycatcher). Its description in RNAcentral is "lncRNA (ENSFALG00000023608.1)". The record is from RNAcentral. Lineage: Eukaryota; Metazoa; Chordata; Aves; Passeriformes; Muscicapidae.
GCUGCUGUGGGCUGGGGCAGUUGAGGCUGAGCUGGAUCCGUUAAGGCUGAGCUGGGUCUGUUAAGGCUGACCUGCGGCAGUUGAGGCUGACCUGAGGUGGUUGAGGCUGACCUGAGAUGGUUGAGGCUGGGCUGAGGGGAGUUAAGGAUGAGCUGGGUCAGUUGAGGAAGUUGAGAAAAGGCAAAGGCAGAAAAGGAUGCUCUGAGGUGGAACUGAGGAAUCUGAGGCCUUAAAAUUUGUCUUCCCAGUCAGUGUGUGUGGCCUCCAGACCCUCCAGCAGGUGCCUCACCCCCCUGCCACCUCCUCACAGUUCCCUGGGUGGGAGACCCCCAAGGGAGACAAUCUUCAGCAGACAAUCCAUGGGAAGCUCUCCAUGGUGAGUAGCACUUUCUUCCAGAAAAGCCACUCCAAAGUGUCACACUACACCUGGUGCCACCAGGAAUCUGUCUGUGUGGCACAGGCAGUCAUCCUGGGAGUCCUGGGAAAGCAGCUCUACGCCUCUGUUCCUAUACCAGCAAUUGCUGAACGUCCCUGGAGAAGGAAAGCUCAGAGUUUCUGGUGCUGGGGAAGAAAUGCUUCAAGAAAAAGAAAAAUAAUCGCAGCUGCAAUGUUAAAAAUAAGAAGCUAA